UGGAAAGGUAAAACGGUGCUCCUUAGUCACGCUGGCCACGUGACAACGGAAACUGUCUUUGGACAGGCACUGGCUCUGUGGCUUGAAAAGCAGGAUGAGCGUCUCUCCCUAGAGUCAGACACGACUGGACUAAAAAUGUCAAGAUGAACCUUUACCUUUACCUGACAAACUUCAUAUUUUAUAUCAAUAAUAACUGAGUAGGUUCCUGACACAUAAUAGAUGUUAUCUAAAGCAUUAUAUACAGAUUUUCUUUAUAUAAUUGUUUAGCCAGGGGGUCUCCAAACUUUUCUCCCUUUACUGAAGACUCAGGUGUCUCGCCUUAAUGCAAGAGAAAAUGUUUUAAAGACUACCACCUAAAGUAAGUUGCAAGGAAAGAGUCAAGAGCAGCUAAGCACUUAGGACUCACCAACCUUUCACGUCCAUCAGAUUCAGACAGUAACCACGUGGGUUUGGUCUGGCAAACAGCACAAGCCUGAGUUUUCUUUUAGAAAUAACGAAACCAAAAUAUUCAUAAUUUAUUUUUCUUUAUUUAUAAACGAGCAAUAUGUAGGCAACCUAAUAUAGUAACAACAUAAACCACACAGGGGCUUGAAGUGGAAUUAACUCUCAACCUCUCUGCCUCAACUGACCUAACUCCCCACCCAACCCAACAUUCUUGUCUCUACAGCAACCAGGUAAACAUCAGGCUCUCCAUUCCAUCCCCAGCAACUGCUGCCUAUCCAGGCAAGUGGGGCAACAACUCGCUUCCCAUAGAUCCUGCACCAGAAAAUAUCCCAGACAGAAAGGGAAAGAGGAGCACUAAUGCAUGCCUUCUCCAGUGCCACUGGGACACAGCAGAAAUCUGAACCCAUGCCCAGGGCUUACUUGCCAGCAUGUGCCCUGACAGAACCAUGGAUUGAUCCAUCUGAAGAAGACCUACAAGUGAAACAAAAAUGUUUAGCCCUUUAGAGAAGGGUGCAUGGACAAGAUUAGCACCCCAUGACUACUUCUGUACCCUGGAAUGUAGAGAUACCCUCCCAAAUAAAAUGGUGCUGCAAUAUUUACA
RNAcentral lists this long non-coding RNA (1045 nucleotides) under Pogona vitticeps (central bearded dragon). RNAcentral describes it as "lncRNA (ENSPVIG00000003715.1)". The record is from RNAcentral. Lineage: Eukaryota; Metazoa; Chordata; Lepidosauria; Squamata; Agamidae.